This 253-nucleotide ribosomal RNA is filed under the name uncultured bacterium. RNAcentral describes it as "partial 16S ribosomal RNA". It matches the Rfam family "Bacterial small subunit ribosomal RNA", at positions 524 to 776 of the family's 1533-position model. The record is from RNAcentral.
UACAGAGGUCUCAAGCGUUGUUCGGAUUCAUUGGGCGUAAAGCGCGCGUAGGCGGCCCGGUAAGUCCGCUGUAAAAGUCAAAGGCUCAACCUUUGAAUGUCAGUGGAUACUGCCGGGCUACAGUCCGGAAGAGGCGAGUGGAACUCCUGGUGUAGCGGUGGAAUGCGCAGAUAUCAGGAAGAACACCGACGGCGAAGGCAGCUCGCUGGGACGGUACUGACGCUGAGGCGCGAAAGCGUGGGGAGCGAACAGG